GUCAACGUCCAUACCACGAAUUUAAAGUACCAGUUCUCGUCUGAUCACUGAAGUCAAGCGACAUUGGGCACGGUUAGUACUUGGAUGGGUGACCGCUUGGGAACACCGUGUGAUGUUGAUA
Ribosomal RNA from Atta cephalotes, 121 nucleotides. The record is from Rfam. NCBI's taxonomy places the organism in Eukaryota, Metazoa, Arthropoda, Insecta, Hymenoptera, Formicidae.